CAGCUGGUGGAAAAGAACAAAAUACAGGAGAGUAAGACACAAUAAGCUGACGGCUCAAGCCCUCUUGGGCAAUUUUUUGAUCAAUUCUAUGACAGACAUCACUCUGUCUCAGAUGAUGGUUCAGGACUUGUAGUAAGCAAAUAUUUUGCUACUCCAUUUUAGAUAUAAUCUACAGUCUGGCCUGGGGCUGCUACAGUGGAAGAAUAGUGACUAUUACCCCUGAAUUUGGCUAAUGCAAUGUUAAAAGUUGAUAGCUUCAAUAGUCCCUUACUGUAAGGAGAAAAAAGUGAAACAUGCCAUCUUGUUAAUAGCUAAUUUCCACUUGCUGCCUAAGUAGCUUUUGUAGGCCCAGUACCAGUGACCUGACCUAAAAAGUUUCCUCAGUUCAGACAAGCAGAGUAACAGGUUUACAUGCUACCCUUCACUAAGAAACGAAAAAAAAAAAGGGAGGGACUGGGGAGAGAAAUGGCUCAAGUUUAAAAAUCCCAGAAGCAGGAUAUUUCAGAAGCAAAAAGAGUCAAGAAGUUUGAUUAUUUCCAAAGCUCUGAAAAAAUGAACUUCAAAAAAAUAAAAAACCUAACUUCUUAUGGCCAGAAUUUUGGAUUUUUCGGCUUGAAAUUACCAGAAGUGGGCUUUGUCCCAUCUAGAGUCAAACUGGAAUUGCAAACUACAAACAGAGUAAUUUAUCAAAGCUAUUAAAAGAGUUGCAAUAAGCAAAGUGCUAUCUCCUCAAAGUUUGCUUGCUUUGUUAUGGAAGUUCUAAUUUAAGAAAGCUACAUUGAGGUGCAAUGCACCUAAAUAAUGGUGACUAUGCUACAAGCUUAAGUGCAACAGGUCGCUCCAUUUUAUUUGCGGUAUCACUGUUUGCAAGGUGUUUCAGCUUUUAACAAUCAGAUAUUUUAAAACAUUAAAGGAGUGUGUUAAGCUUCAUUAGAAAUAUGGAGGAUGUUACCCACCAGGGCUAUGACAGUGGCACCAGCUCCAGCACAAGCCACAAUGAACAGGUGAUAGGACAUGUAGAACUAGAAAAGAAGAGAUUAAAACAAAUAUUUGAAUGAUUAGAGGAACAUACAAUUGAAUCUGUUUGCCAUUUCAAUGGAGAACUCUAACACGGACAAUUUUUGUAAUUCAUUUUUUUCUCUAUUGCUCUAUUUAUGUUAUGGUUAUUUAUACAACAGGUAGCCCAGAAGACUUAAAUACAGGGUUUUUUUUCUGGCUUUGAAUGGCAAGAAGAAAGAUGUUAACAAUAUUGAUGUUUGCCACUGUUGCAUAGAUGGUGGUUUUGGCAGGUUAGUAGAGGCUUCUGAAAAACGUAUUUAUCUUCCAAUAUGACUUUCUUUGGCUUCUGCAAUAGCCCUGUAGUUUGUAUUGUACCUCAUUUGUGUUGCAGAUGUUCUCUAAAAUUGGCCCACAAGCCCUGCCUGGUACAGCAUUCCAAGGGAUGAUACCUGAAACGAGGACACCAGAGCAAAAUAUUGGAAGAGGAAAACAAGUUUACCUGCUUUCAACUACCAGUGGGUUUGCCAAGUUUGAAUGAACUAGUCCAAAAGAAGAGAAUAUUUUCUCUGAACCUGCUAGCUAAAUUGAAACCGAAAAUAGUUAAGCCAGAAGCUUUUCUGCACAACAAACUGGACUUAGUCACCCCACGGUAGAGGCUGAAAAUAAUACAGAUGCUUACUUAAUAUAUUAUUUUAAUGUAACAUUUUCAAGCUUGAGUUGACCUCAAAAGUUAAAUAUUUUCUGCCCGAUUCUGCAUAUAGUGAAAAAAGCAGCACCCUUCCAAUAACAAAAAUUAAUUAAUUUGAGGACUGCUCAUUGUUGCAGCAUUUUAUAAUUUAAAUUUUAAUAGAUUAUUGUAAGUUUAGGUCUUAAAAUAGUUAGUCAUAAUUUCAAAUUUUAAAAAUCUGUUUAAAAUAAAUAAAUAAAUAUAUUCAAUUUUUUUGAUAUUUUAAAAAAAUAUCUAUUUCUACCCACUUUGUUCCUAAGCAUUUUAUUUUGAGAUUGUUUUAUAUUUAAACCUGAUAUAAUAAUAUGGGUAACAGCUACAAAAUCACUUGAGAUACAUGACUUGCCUGUUCAGUUAAACUGAGUGCAUCUGGAAAUAGGUUAGUGUAAACUGCAUGAAUUGGAAAAGUAAUGGCAUUUUCAGAGAUACCAUACUCUGCUUUUUGGUUCAUCUGAUAAGACAGACAAACCAACUGAAGAGAAGACAAAGAAAGAGGAUAAAGAAUUUAAUCAGGAUUAAAAUAAGUACCAUAUUGCCUGACAUCCACGCAGAUCUGGUCCCCUGAAGCUGUCAUAUUUGUCUGAAGUGAUUUGAUGACUUCACAAGUUGACCAUAUGUUAUAGAACAUAAAGACAGGCACAGCAGAAAAGCCAAAGACCCCAAGCCAGGCCACUCCAAGCACAUAUGUGAGGAAAACAAACUAGGCAGAGAAAACACACAUUUCAAGUUUAAUUCUCUGAAGAGAACAGAAUGAAUAUGCUCUGUCUUGGAGGAGGGGUAUGUAUAUUUUAAAUAAGCUCCUACAAGUCAUUUUCAGGAAGUUAAACAUUAAAAGCCAGUUGCCAUACAAUGUUUCCCUUGUAAAUAGGAUCUUUUGGGCAGCAGAAAAAUGACCAGGCCAGCAUUUCAUUUCUUCCUUCUGUCUUCUUUAAACAAAUACUUGGCUCAAAGGCAGUAGUGAAAAAGUAGGACUCAAAUGCUCCAUUUUUCAUCUGUCUGCUUGAACAAACAGGUUGGUCUUCUGAAGGAGCAGUUUACUAAUCACGCUUAGAAUUCAGAAGUUUAGAAUUCUUCUAAAACCAGGGCAUUCUGAUUUUAAGUUAAAACUAAUAAAUGCCAACAAAUCAAAUGUAACAGAUUUUAAAAAAAAAUUAUAUACCAGAUAUAUAAGAAAUUCUCUAAUUCUUGCCAGCCGUACACUAUACAGGGGAAUCAAAUCAUGCUUGGCUCUCUGGAGAUAUAGCGGGGUCGAUUCUGAACAUAAAUGUAAAGAAACCCAUUUUUGUCUCCCGAAAAAUUAAUCUGGGUUCCUAAAAUGAGAUGCCAGAAACCCUAACAGCUACCAGGGGCAUAUCAACUAAGACAAGCUGUUUUAAAAAUGUUUUAAAUUAACGUGACAAAAGAUCAUAAACAUGAGAUGAAAAAUCUAUAAUCCCUCCUCUUGCAGGGUAGAAUAUCCUUGUAGAGGAUGUCUGAGAUAUUAAACAGAUACUACACUUGAUUUUGGCUUUGGAAAGGCCCCUAAUUCUAUGUUCUGAAUUGUUUGCCAAGCUGAAUUUUGCUUUAGAGAGUAUCAUUAGAGAGGUGUGGUUAAAACACUGGUCUGCGCUUCUGGAGAUCUGAUUCAGUUCCACAAUCUAACGCAGACUACCUGCAUGACUUUGGGCAAAUCACAAUCUCUGUGCCUCAGUUCCCCGUGAGUAAAAGAGGAAAGUAAUGUUUCUUUUCUCACAUUUUCUUUGUUGUCUAUUUAGGUGGUGAACUCUGCAGGGUAGGAACUGUUUUGUUUUGUUUUUGUUUUUUUGGGGGGGGGGGGUUACUUCUGUGUAUAUUUAGUGUCUAGCCCAGUGAAGUUCUGGUUGAGGCCUCUGUGCAAUACCAUGAUACGUAUCAAUAAUACAUUUAGAAAGCACUAGUCCCGUAUCUCUAGCUUCAUUGAAACAUAUGUACUGAUUAUAUUGUAAACAUUAUAUCUAGGUACUGAAAAUACAUCCUUCUAGUUUGUAUUAAGGUGUCACUAGCAGAGGUGAAAAACUGGUUUUGCCAGACAAAGGGACAUAUUUUCAGAUGUUUGCCUAGAUUCCUAUGUAGAUUAAGCAUUGUAAAGCCAAUGCAAUGGAAACUCCUGUGGAAGUCAACAGGAAAAACAGGUCAACGCGGGAUGUGAAACAAACAAGAGCAUGGAAAGACACCUUAGAGCCAGCAUCCCUGGAAAGAAACCACAGGGAUCAUCCUCUCUUUGGGGGAGAAAACAGUGAGUUUGGGGGAAUAUAAGAAGCAAAAGGACAUUUUGUCAUCCUUCACUGAGGAAGCUAAUAGGACCAUGCUUUUUGCAUUCAUAAAGUUGGAUCCUGGCCAUGUGGGCUAGUGACGGUGAGAGGUUGCUUUACAUGAGAAACUGCUUUAGACAAGGAUUUUAACCUUUACAGUUAAGUUUAGACUGUAAGAAGUGUUAUACCAUUUGUCUUACAUAGAACUUGUUCUCAUUAUCCUUGCUCACUAGCUCUUAAAUCUUAAUCUUUGUAAAUAAACAUAUUUGUAUUCAUG
Molecule: long non-coding RNA, 4273 nt
Organism: Dermochelys coriacea (leatherback sea turtle)
Lineage: Eukaryota; Metazoa; Chordata; Testudines; Dermochelyidae
Exons: 2
Source: RefSeq, a predicted model, not a curated record